This is a long non-coding RNA of Leucoraja erinaceus (little skate), 491 nucleotides long. RefSeq lists it as uncharacterized. The record is from RefSeq and is a predicted model, not a curated record. The transcript is spliced from 2 exons. Lineage: Eukaryota; Metazoa; Chordata; Chondrichthyes; Rajiformes; Rajidae.
UCUCUCCGUGAGUCCGCUUGGAAAAAAAUCGAACUCCAUGCAGUUCGAAAUAUCUACAAGGAUAAACUACUCUGACGGAGAGACAGCGCUGGAAAAAGAAACGCGACCAUGUUACCAUUGGCCUGUAAAGCUGCAGCAAGUAAAAAUUUCAUUAUUCUAUUGCUGAUACGCAUGACAAUUAAACACUGAACUCUGAACAGGUCCACGGAUGCGACUUAUUCUAACCUUGCUUGUGCUCGAGACUUUUCGACCUUUGUUAAAAUUAAUUCGAUAUUUCAAAAUUUGUUGCUCUGGAAAUUGAUCAAUAAUUUGAAUUAACAUCGUGUUUAGCGAAAUAAUCUAGCGAAAUAGAUCAUGAUUGUUCCCCCCAUUUCCUCCCCCUUAUUAUGGGCUGCUAAUUCGCUUGAAAUGUAAUAAACGCGAUUGGAUAUCUUCUAUUUAAAAAACAAAAUCAACGGAUAAAUAAAAACACGUCUUGAAAUACAAUAAAA